AGUGCGUGCGUGUGCGAGUGAGCGAAAAGGAGAGCGCGCGGCGGACGUGCCCGAGACGCGCGGCGGCACCGGGAGGCCGGGCCGAGCGGUCUUAAAACAUGUUGGAAAAAGUUGAAGCUCCCCUUUUCUACCCUCCUGAUCCUGUGCUUCUAUUGGAGUGCAUAUCACUUGAUGGCUUCUAAGACAAAUGUUAAAUUCUUGUCAGAUUACGCAGUUUUGAGAGAUUACCUGAAGUUGCACUCAAAAGCAAGAUAUACUACUAGCUUUGAAAUGGAAUAAGAACAUAAGAGAGCAGCUGCCCAUGCCAAAUAGUUACCUCUUUUAAACUCAUUCUAGUGGAGCAAAUGGCCCUCCCUAUCCUGAAGACAUUAGCUGAGAGUCUGGCACCUUUUAAAGGUCUGAUCAUCAAUUGUCUCUCUGGGCAGCCACCUAUGAGACUUCAUCUAUAUGCUUUAUAAAUAGCAGUCCAGGGCAACAGUACUUGAUAAAAAGGUUAUACCUUAUUGGUGUGGAUGUUGUUGUCUAAAUUUCGGUAGCCAUGGCACAACAAUAUAGAUGUGGAGAAAGUUUGGGACCUCA
This 579-nucleotide small RNA is filed under the name Pongo abelii (Sumatran orangutan). RNAcentral's name for it is "processed transcript". The record is from RNAcentral. Lineage: Eukaryota; Metazoa; Chordata; Mammalia; Primates; Hominidae.